This 247-nucleotide unclassified non-coding RNA is filed under the name uncultured fungus. RNAcentral's name for it is "partial contains 5.8S ribosomal RNA, internal transcribed spacer 2, and large subunit ribosomal RNA". Lineage: Eukaryota; Fungi. The record is from RNAcentral.
AACGCACAUUGCGCCCUUUAGUAUUCUUUAGGGCAUGCCUGUUCGAGCGUCAUCUCCACCUCCAAGCCUGGCUUGGUCUUGGGCGUCUGUCCCGCCUCCGCGCACGGACUCGCCUCAAAUGCAUUGGCAGCUGUUCGUGAGCUUCAAGCGCAGUAGAAACGCGCUUUUGGAGCGAUCGGCCGGCGUCCACAAGCGAAAUACCCUCUUGUUUGACCUCGAAUCAGGUAGGACUACCCGCUGAACUUAA